This is a long non-coding RNA of Paramisgurnus dabryanus, 1402 nucleotides long. RefSeq lists it as uncharacterized. The record is from RefSeq and is a predicted model, not a curated record. Lineage: Eukaryota; Metazoa; Chordata; Actinopteri; Cypriniformes; Cobitidae.
UAUUAUGGGAUACACGUUUUUAAACAUCCUUUUGUGUGUAAGUGUGCAUUAGUACAUGCUAACGAUAUUCAAAAAGUACGUACCUCAAAGAAAACGAUGACGCGAGUUAUCGUCUCUAACGUUCGAGGACUACAAAAAACACUCGGAUUGUAGGCAACAGUUUACUUCCUGGGAUUAGUGACGUAGAUAAGACCAACAUUAUCAUAGUUCAGCCCUCUCUGCUUUGCUUGGGUACGCCCUCAAAGACGGGGGUGGGGAGCGCCGAGUCAGAAGAGAGCUAAAAUGGCGGAGGUUGUGAGUCCCUGCUAUGACUCUGUUUGCAAACUCUUGUUUCAUUGUUUAAGCGAUUAAAUCUCUCGAGUAGACGCUGUCUCUUUAGAUGCGUGGGAAAAAUAGCACUUUAUGGACUUACACAGAGGACAUCAUGUUUAAUACGGUUCCGGAAAAAUCCAGUCAGAAGUUGUUCACGGAGUUUUCACAAUAACUGCUUCUCAUCAUGAACCGAAGCUGGAUUUGCGCGACGUCUCCUCUUGAAAGUUGGAUUACUGUGCACUUCUGGAUCACAGGCUAUUCGCAGCUGUACACAUCCUUCUACACUGUAUGCAAACAUGCAACAUCAUUACACACAGUACAAGGAGUCAGCCUGGCAAAUGAGGAGCAAAGGAACCCAGGCAGUAGCAUCGUUUCACAAUGUUUCCAUCACCAUCAUCAGUGGAUGCCUUUGCCGUCUGUAGCCUGAGAUUUCAGAUUUGCAGCAAAAAAAAAUUGAUUUUCUCAUUUAUUGGAAUGCUGUGCAGGUCACCAAGCCGUAACAAAAGCAGGAGAGGGAAAGUACAAGGCUAUGUUCCCAAAACACACAAGUGACAUACCUUAUGUGGAUGAUGUGAUCAGGCUUGUGUUUGAUGAGGUAUUUGAAGAUAAGCUGAAGGAAACCCCGAUUCCAAUGGACCUGGCAUCACAGUUUGAGAGACCUUCAAAGGAGGACGUGAUUGCAUGCCAUCUUCAGUGCAGGGGUCGUCGAAAGCCAAAAUUGUGACCGAUCUGAUCAGGAAGCUCCAAGCGUAUCUGGAGAACAACACACGACAGGAUGAUAACCUUAUAGUGUCGUCUUAAAUAGCACCAGCUGAUAAAGCUUUGAUAUGCCAUUUAUCUGAAUAGAUAGCUGUAAGAAAUGAAUUGAACAAUUUUUGAAACAAGAGCACAAUAUGGUUACUAAAGUAUGUUUAUUUGUAUAUUGUUUAACAUUUAAAUAUAUAUUUGUAAUAAAUAAAAAAAACUUUUGACUGACUAUUAUAUUUUCUUUAAAGUUGCAUCUUUUGUUCUUUUGGGUACUUUGUUACUAUAAUGAUACUUUAGUGUUAUUGGUUUAAAAAUGUAAUAAAACUUACUCUAGUCCUGCACC